This 195-nucleotide ribosomal RNA is filed under the name Triticum aestivum (bread wheat). RNAcentral describes it as "partial small subunit ribosomal RNA". Lineage: Eukaryota; Viridiplantae; Streptophyta; Magnoliopsida; Poales; Poaceae. The record is from RNAcentral.
AUGUCCAGUUUUGCAGUAGAGAUGGAACUAAGAAAGAAAACCAUUGACUAUAACCCCAAAAGAACCAGAUUUCGCAAACAACAUAGAGGAAGAAUGAAAGGAAAAUUCGAAAAUCCUGCCGAGGCAAUCAUAUUUGUUUUGAUAGAUAUGCUCUUCAAGCACUUGAACCCGCUUGGAUCACGGCGAGACAGAUAG